UACGUAGGGUGCAAGCGUUAAUCGGAAUUACUGGGCGUAAAGCGUGCGCAGGCGGUGAUGUAAGAAAGAAGUGAAAUCCCCGGGCUCAACCUGGGAACUGCAUUUGUGACUGCAUCGCUGGAGUACGGCAGAGGGGGAUGGAAUUCCGCGUGUAGCAGUGAAAUGCGUAGAUAUGCGGAGGAACACCGAUGGCGAAGGCAAUCCCCUGGGCCUGUACUGACGCUCAUGCACGAAAGCGUGGGGAGCAAACAGG
This 253-nucleotide ribosomal RNA is filed under the name uncultured bacterium. RNAcentral's name for it is "partial 16S ribosomal RNA". It matches the Rfam family "Bacterial small subunit ribosomal RNA", at positions 524 to 776 of the family's 1533-position model. The record is from RNAcentral.